This 309-nucleotide non-coding RNA is filed under the name Klebsiella sp. RIT-PI-d. Its description in RNAcentral is "MicL sRNA". It matches the Rfam family "MicL sRNA". From Rfam's summary of the family: mRNA-interfering complementary RNA regulator of Lpp. Transcription factor sigma E dependant sRNA. Lineage: Bacteria; Pseudomonadati; Pseudomonadota; Gammaproteobacteria; Enterobacterales; Enterobacteriaceae. The record is from Rfam by way of RNAcentral.
UAUGGCCGGAUCUGGCGUCCGCGCUGGCAACCUCGAUAUGCUGCUUAAUGCAGGCGUAAAAGAGGUUCACAGCUCCGCCGGUGGGUGGAACCCUUCACCAAUGCGCUACCGCAACCCUGGAUUAUCCAUGUCGACGGACCCGAACGCAGAUGAGUAUCAGCGUUAUGCGGUAAACGGCAGGGCGGUGGCAGAAAUGAAGGCGAUCGUUACCCGCUUUAGCCAACAGAAUUAACGAUUUUUACCGCGCAUCAUGUCGCCCAUAUGAUGCUUGUUUGUACCAGGCCCCUGCAUUUACAGGGGCCUUUUUUU